CUCCAUCUCAAAAGAAAAAAAAAAGAAAGAAAAUGGAGGAAGGAGACCCACCAUGAGCCAAGGAAUGCAGAUGGCUUCUCAAAGCUGAGAACAGUCCUUAGCUGAUAGCCAGAGCAAGAUAAUAAAGACCUCAGUUCUACAAUCACAAGGAACUGAAUUCUGCCAACAACCUGAAUGCACCAAGAGACAGACUCUUCCAAAGAUCCCUCAGAAAGAGACACAGACGUGCAGGUAUCUUGAUUUCAGCCUCACAGACACCCAUGUCAGACUUCUGACCUGCAGAACUCUAAGAUCUAAAAGGAUUAGGUAUAGUCUCCAGUUCCAACCUCAGGACAGCAGGAGUGAUAAGUCAUGGACGGCGCCAUGAGGAUACAGAAGAGGCUGCUAAAAGGAGCUCUGACAAAAGCAAAAGUGGUCAUUGAUAUCAAGGUAGAAGGAAAAGAAGACAAAAGAUGUACCAGAACUUCACUUUUUACCACUGACACGAGCUACUUCUUUGUUGAAUCAGGUCUAGACAACUAGCAAAACAAUAAAUCAAAUAAUGACUUCUAGCAUCAGCCAAUUUCUGCAACCAUGAUAUCCGUGAAGGCAGAGCUGGGAAAAGAAGAGCCGUAGCAGCACACCAUAUUACAGUGUUUCUCCUAUUCAAAUACAAGAGAUCUAAAUUACCUCAAGGCCAUAGAAAACAGUGAAAUUUGGUAAUUAGUUAAGUAAUGAUUUUAAGUAUUUACUAACUUUGUUUUUGAUAUAAUUUACCUAUAAGCUUAUAUAAGUAAUUUUUAAUAAAGUCUGUGUUAAAGAAUCAGCUCACACAAAAACUCAAUAGGCUCUCAUGAGCCAGCACAAGCGGGCUUCACCACAUCACUUACAACUAACUUGAAUAAGAUCACACCAUUAGGAAGUAACAGUGCUAAGAUUUGUAUUCA
Molecule: long non-coding RNA, 926 nt
Filed under: Homo sapiens (human)
Lineage: Eukaryota; Metazoa; Chordata; Mammalia; Primates; Hominidae
Description: HSALNT0318620
Source: RNAcentral